Pelobates cultripes (western spadefoot toad) is the source of this 347-nucleotide non-coding RNA. The record is from the annotation of a GenBank genome assembly. NCBI's taxonomy places the organism in Eukaryota, Metazoa, Chordata, Amphibia, Anura, Pelobatidae.
UUGAAGAGGUAGCCAACAUUGUUUUUUUUUAAUUUGGGUAGCCCCCAAAAUAUUGGGACAUAUAAAAAAAGACAACUCUGUUCCGCAGAGUAGCUGUCGACAUUAUAGUUGCGCCGGCACUUUGUUGACUCUAGAGAACCUUGGGACAAUCGCACAUCCCCAUGACGGCAACUUUGCAUUCGGAUGUCAUCCAUAUCAACUUUCGAUGCCAGUUUCUGCGCCUACCAUGGUGACCCCAGGGAAUCAGGGUUCCAUUCCGUACAGGGACCCUGAGAAAUGGCUACCACAUGCAAGGAAGGCAGCAAGGGCGCAAAUGACCCACUCCCGAUGCGGGAAGGUAGUGACAA